ACGGAGGAUCCAAGCGUUAUCCGGAAUCAUUGGGUUUAAAGGGUCCGUAGGCGGCUUAAUAAGUCAGUGGUGAAAGCCCUACGCUUAACGUAGGAACGGCCAUUGAUACUGUUAGGCUUGAAUUAUUAGGAAGUAACUAGAAUAUGUAGUGUAGCGGUGAAAUGCUUAGAGAUUACAUGGAAUACCAAUUGCGAAGGCAGGUUACUACUAAUGGAUUGACGCUGAUGGACGAAAGCGUGGGUAGCGAACAGGAUUAGAUACCCUGGUAGUCCACGCCGUAAACGAUGGAUACUAGCUGUUGGAAGCAAUUUCAGUGGCUAAGCGAAAGUGAUAAGUAUCCCACCUGGGGAGUACGUUCGCAAGAAUG
Molecule: ribosomal RNA, 367 nt
Filed under: uncultured bacterium
Lineage: Bacteria
Description: bacterial SSU rRNA
Rfam family: Bacterial small subunit ribosomal RNA
Source: RNAcentral